AUGAACGCUGGCGGUAGGCUAACCAUGCAAGUCGAACGGCAGCACAGGAAGCUUGCUCUCUGGGUGGCGAGUGGCGGACGGGUGAGGAAUACAUCGGAACUACUCUGUCGUGGGAUAACGUNAGGGAAACUUACGCUAAUACCGCAACGAUACGGGUGAAAGCAGGGGACCUUCGGGCCUUGCGCGAUUGAAUGAGCCGAUGUCGGAUUAGCUAGUUGGCGGGGUAAAGGCCCACCAAGGCGACGAUCCGAGCUGGUCUGAGAGGAUGAUCAGCCACACUGGAACUGAGACACGGUCCAGACUCCUACGGGAGGCAGCAGUGGGGAAUAUUGGACAAUGGGCGCAAGCCUGAUCCAGCCAUACCGCGUGGGUGAAGAAGGCCUUCGGGUUGUAAGCCCUUUUGUUGGGAAAGAAAUCCAGCUGGCUAAUACCCGGUUGGGAUGACGGUACCAAAGAAUAAGCACCGGCUACUUCGUUGCCAGCAGCC
RNAcentral lists this ribosomal RNA (487 nucleotides) under uncultured Stenotrophomonas sp. Its description in RNAcentral is "bacterial SSU rRNA". It matches the Rfam family "Bacterial small subunit ribosomal RNA", at positions 29 to 516 of the family's 1533-position model. The record is from RNAcentral. Lineage: Bacteria; Pseudomonadati; Pseudomonadota; Gammaproteobacteria; Lysobacterales; Lysobacteraceae.